AAGGUCUUAGCUUAAUGAAAGUGUCUGUUUUGCAUACAGAAGAUAUAGGUUAAAGUCCUGUAGGUCUUA
RNAcentral lists this transfer RNA (69 nucleotides) under Aseraggodes kobensis (milky spotted sole). RNAcentral describes it as "tRNA-Ala". It matches the Rfam family "tRNA". From Rfam's summary of the family: Transfer RNA (tRNA) molecules are approximately 80 nucleotides in length. Their secondary structure includes four short double-helical elements and three loops (D, anti-codon, and T loops). The record is from RNAcentral. Lineage: Eukaryota; Metazoa; Chordata; Actinopteri; Pleuronectiformes; Soleidae.